RNAcentral lists this ribosomal RNA (495 nucleotides) under uncultured bacterium. Its description in RNAcentral is "partial 16S ribosomal RNA". It matches the Rfam family "Bacterial small subunit ribosomal RNA", at positions 28 to 507 of the family's 1533-position model. The record is from RNAcentral.
GAUGAACGCUGGCGGCGUGCCUAAUACAUGCAAGUAGAACGCUGAAGGAGGAGCUUGCUCUUCUGGAUGAGUUGCGAACGGGUGAGUAACGCGUAGGUAACCUGCCUGGUAGCGGGGGAUAACUAUUGGAAACGAUAGCUAAUACCGCAUGACAACAGUUAUUGCAUGAUAACUGUUUAAAAGGGGCAACUGCUCCACUACCAGAUGGACCUGCGUUGUAUUAGCUAGUUGGUGAGGUAACGGCUCACCAAGGCGACGAUACAUAGCCGACCUGAGAGGGGGAUCGGCCACACUGGGACUGAGACACGGCCCAGACUCCUACGGGAGGCAGCAGGAGGGGAUCUUCGGCAAUGGACGGAAGUCUGACCGAGGAACGCCGCGGGAGGGAAGAAGGGUCUCGGAUCGUAAAGCUCUGUUGUAAGGGAAGAACGAGUGUGAGAGUGGAAAGUUCACACUGUGACGGUAUCUUACCAGAAAGGGACGGCUAACUACGUG